RNAcentral lists this transfer RNA (69 nucleotides) under Rhabdoblatta densimaculata. RNAcentral's name for it is "tRNA-Asp". Lineage: Eukaryota; Metazoa; Arthropoda; Insecta; Blattodea; Blaberidae. The record is from RNAcentral.
AAGGAAUUAGUUAAUAUAAAUAUAACAUUAGGUUGUCAAACUAAAAUUAUCAAUAUUUGAUAUUCCUUU